RNAcentral lists this ribosomal RNA (301 nucleotides) under uncultured bacterium. RNAcentral's name for it is "partial 16S ribosomal RNA". It matches the Rfam family "Bacterial small subunit ribosomal RNA", at positions 509 to 807 of the family's 1533-position model. The record is from RNAcentral.
CAGUAGCCGCGGGAAUACGAAGGGGGCUAGCGUUGCUCGGAAUUACUGGGCGUAAAGGGCGCGUAGGCGGACAGUUAAGUCGGAGGUGAAAGCCCGGGGCUCAACCUCGGAAUUGCCUUCGAUACUGGCUGUCUUGAGUGUGAGAGAGGUGUGUGGAACUCCGAGUGUAGAGGUGAAAUUCGUAGAUAUUCGGAAGAACACCAGUGGCGAAGGCGACACACUGGCUCACUACUGACGCUGAGGCGCGAAAGCGUGUGGAGCAAACAGGAUUAGAUACCCCCGUAGUCCCUGUCUCUUAUAC